CUUGUCCUACGGGAGGCAGCAGUGGGGAAUAUUGCGCAAUGGGGGCAACCCUGACGCAGCAACGCCGCGUGCAGGAAGAAGGUCUUCGGAUUGUAAACUGUUGUCGCAGGGGAAGAAGACAGUGACGGUACCCUGUGAGAAAGUCACGGCUAACUACGUGCCAGCAGCCGCGGUAAUACGUAGGUGACAAGCGUUGUCCGGAUUUACUGGGUGUAAAGGGCGCGUAGACGGUGCAGCAAGUCUGAUGUGAAAGGUCGGGGCCCAACCCCGGGACUGCAUUGGAAACUGUUGAACUGGAGUACAGG
RNAcentral lists this ribosomal RNA (305 nucleotides) under uncultured bacterium. RNAcentral's name for it is "bacterial SSU rRNA". It matches the Rfam family "Bacterial small subunit ribosomal RNA", at positions 333 to 652 of the family's 1533-position model. The record is from RNAcentral.